AUACGGAGGAUCCGAGCGUUAUCCGGAUUUAUUGGGUUUAAAGGGUGCGCAGGCGGGAGAUUAAGUCGGCGGGUAAAUUUUGCAGCUCAACUGUAAAAGAGCCUUCGAAACUGGGUUCCUUGAGUGUAGCUGAAGUAGGCGGAAUUUGUGGUGUAGCGGUGAAAUGCAUAGAUAUCACGAGGAACUCCGAUUGCGCAGGCAGCUUACUAAACUACUACUGACGCUCAGGCACGAAGGCGUGGGGAUCAAACAGGAUUAGAUACCCUGGUAGUCCACGCAGUAAACGAUGAUUACUAGCUGUUUGCGAUACAAUGUAAGCGGCUGAGCGAAAGCGUUAAGUAAUCCACCUGGGGAGUACGUUCGCAAGAAUGAAACUCAAAGGAAUUGACGGGG
RNAcentral lists this ribosomal RNA (393 nucleotides) under uncultured bacterium. RNAcentral describes it as "partial 16S ribosomal RNA". It matches the Rfam family "Bacterial small subunit ribosomal RNA", at positions 523 to 918 of the family's 1533-position model. The record is from RNAcentral.